RNAcentral lists this ribosomal RNA (575 nucleotides) under uncultured bacterium. RNAcentral's name for it is "partial 16S ribosomal RNA". It matches the Rfam family "Bacterial small subunit ribosomal RNA", at positions 355 to 923 of the family's 1533-position model. The record is from RNAcentral.
UGGGGAAUUUUGGACAAUGGGGGAAACCCUGAUCCAGCCAUCCCGCGUGUGCGAUGAAGGCCUUCGGGUUGUAAAGCACUUUUGGCAGGAAAGAAACGUCGCGGGUUAAUACCCCGCGAAACUGACGGUACCUGCAGAAUAAGCACCGGCUAACUACGUGCCAGCAGCCGCGGUAAUACGUAGGGUGCAAGCGUUAAUCGGAAUUACUGGGCGUAAAGCGUGCGCAGGCGGUUCGGAAAGAAAGAUGUGAAAUCCCAGAGCUUAACUUUGGAACUGCAUUUUUAACUACCGGGCUAGAGUGUGUCAGAGGGAGGUGGAAUUCCGCGUGUAGCAGUGAAAUGCGUAGAUAUGCGGAGGAACACCGAUGGCGAAGGCAGCCUCCUGGGAUAACACUGACGCUCAUGCACGAAAGCGUGGGGAGCAAACAGGAUUAGAUACCCUGGUAGUCCACGCCCUAAACGAUGUCAACUAGCUGUUGGGGCCUUCGGGCCUUGGUAGCGCAGCUAACGCGUGAAGUUGACCGCCUGGGGAGUACGGUCGCAAGAUUAAAACUCAAAGGAAUUGACGGGGUCGAU